RNAcentral lists this long non-coding RNA (271 nucleotides) under Phasianus colchicus (ring-necked pheasant). RNAcentral's name for it is "lncRNA (ENSPCLG00000021610.1)". Lineage: Eukaryota; Metazoa; Chordata; Aves; Galliformes; Phasianidae. The record is from RNAcentral.
AUUAGUUCUGGUUUUGUUUAAAAGAAUAACCCACAACCUGAAAGACUUAUUUAUUUCCUUGUGUUCCUAGAAGAUGCUAAAGGACAUGUGGUCUACUCUGCAGCAUCUUCCCAAGAAGAGCACAGGAGCUGAAGAAACAGUGAAUGAGGCACUUCUGGACCCAGAGGAAACCCGCCAAGAGGAAAGGUGUGCUCAUAGCAGGCUACCUGGUAUUUGACUGGAGUCCUGGAAAGAACUUCUGAAUAAGCUGCUCUCAUGUUUUCAUUCCUGA